UCGUUGCAGAAAACGUCACUAUUUCGCCCAAUAUUCAUUUUUCGUGAAUAUGGAAAACUUGGGCCAUAUAAUUCGAUAUAGGACUUGACAGUCCUGUCUGUCAUGUCCCAAAGAGCGGAGUUUCUGAGACUUGUGGCCCAGAUAACUUACAUUUCCUUUGUGCUUUUCCUUGAGGCAGACAGUUGGGAGUUUUUUUAGUCUCUGCUUAGAGUGAAAGUAUUUUAUAUCUCGUCCAUUUCCUCCCAUUAAGAGAUCAGGUCCUUUUAUGUGCAUAUUCGAUAUAAAGUACUCUACGCAAGAUUUAUUCAACGUUACAUUUAUAAUGAGAGCCUGUAGAGAUCGUGGGCAGUAUUCCGUAUGUCCAAUACUUUGACAUACUGUACAGGUAGUGUUAAUUCAUUGUUUGAUAUUCAUGCAGAAUGACAAGUUUACAGUCUUAUAUUUGUGGAGCAUUUUUUCUGAUCAAUGUUAAAUGCGUGGCGGUCAUUAAAACAUAUCUCGUUUAAACUCUAAAAGGUACAUUUUUUGCUGAUGCAGAACAGUGCCUUUCAACAACCUCUGCAAUGACACUAGAGUUUUUACGACCCAGGUGACACCGCGGGACAGUAUGUUCAGCGCCUACGUACUGUAGCUUCAAAAAUCAAUGAAAACAGACUUGUUCUGUAUUCCUUUCUAGAGGUCCUGUGGUCUGUUCGAGAAUGCCUACUGCUGUUAUAAGAACAAUUUAACAAACUCGUGUUUUUCAUGCGCUGCAAGCAUUAUAAGCUUUACUCAAGAUUGAGGUUUUAAAAGGUUUUUGUUUACCGGACGAAUUGAAAAUAAUCAAUCGAGAUGCAUGUGUCAAUAGCUUUUCAGUGCUUAAAUAUUGUCAUUAAAUCAACCAAGAAACACCGUUGAACAGGUCCUAUGUCAAACAAUCAAGAGGUAAAAAAACCCUAAUAUUUUAUGGUUUUAUUAGUUGGAUGCGUAGAACUGCAGAAUCUUCCUCCUAGUUCAAGGUAGCAAGAGAUCCUUGUGAAAACAAAAACAAAUUAUUCAAAAUUGAGUUGUGUGAGCCAUCACAAUCAGUGUGAAUACGUACCAUAUUUACAAGCAGACAGACCAUCAGCCACUUCACCUGUCAUGUUAUUUCUUGAAGUUGAUUCCUUUGAAUGUUGAAAUCCUUUUACAUUGUGGGUUCUAGUGUUCUCGUAUUUACCCAGUCGAUAUGGUGCAUAGAGUUUAUAGAUGACGAUUACAUGAUUGUUGCGGACAGUAGCUGGGAGUUUCUGGCACCAUGCUCAUAUGAGAUUGAAUUAUGGAUUCCAGUUCCUGGGCAUAGCUUCGUUCUAAAGUCUCCCUGAUGCUGACAGUCAAGCAACGUUAACAAAUUUGAAAAUUUCCAACUAUGAAAUGGCAGCGACUAGAUGCCGCUUCAGUUUCUCAUCUUUUGACUGGGCAGUUGGGUUGAGAGGAUGACCAACACUUGCGCUCUUGUCUUUGAGAUGACCAUCAGGUCUACUUGAGCCAUAAGAGCUGGGCGGUUGCACAGUAUACCUUGUGUAGAAUCUGACUGGCUUUCUCUUGAGGGACAGAUUCUGAGCAUCAUGUGGGCGGCUGGUUUGAACUCCAAAAAGAGUGCUACUCUGUGAAGGGUUAUUAGAGCUGGACGACACCGAACCAGUGGAUCGGGGCAGAUGGGCGGUAGGCAUGUGGUUUAUGUAAUUUGAUAGCGUGCCAACAGUGUGUUGAUAGCCCUGAGAUGAUAUGGCCGGUCUUCUGUCAUGUUCUGGUUGAGAAUCUGGGACGUAGAGUUGACCCCUCCGCGGCAUGACACGUGGAACCCGACGAUAGGAACUCAAAGGUGUGCGCAUCGGUGCAGACAGGAUUUGGUCUGAAGUCACCCUGCUUGGUACAUCUCUAGCAAGUUCUAAACCACGAGAUGGUUUUUGAGUUUCCUUUGUAGAGUCUUCAGUCGGAGAUGUAGAUUUUGGUUCUUGCCUGAUAUUCUUCUCAGAGGUCCUACUUGAAUAGUGGCUGAAAUUUUGAGAUGGCCGGUUUUGGGAGUGGACACUGGGCGCAGUCAAAUGACCACUGAGCAACGAAUCAUGUCCAAUUAAUGAGCCAUUGGGUAUUUGUCCAGGGAGCUUGUAGCUUAUUGACGGAGGAGCUUUGUUUCUCACAUGAGGAGCACUUGUGACAAUAUCGGGGUUUCCCCUAGAAAUGAGACCAUGGUCAACACCAUCGUAACGCCUUGAAACGUGCCCUGUGGCUGCUGAAUGAUCACGAGGGUAGACUGCAGAGCCUGGCCCUCGGCCUCGUUUGUCGUAGACGCUGGUAGGCGCGAGACUGUCAGCGGGGUCGAUAGCAUCACGGACAGAGACGCUUUCACUUGGCAUUUGGUAGUUUGCACCGUGUUCAAGCGCCGUACUCGUAGCUGCUCUCCGGUCUUCAUUUCCACUGGUGUCGUCAUGGGCGGUGCCUUCAUUUGCAGAUGAAGACCUAUGGCCCGUGUCGUGCUGCCUCUUCAUAUUCACCGCAUUAGAAGCAAUCUCCUUUUUAAUGGUUUCCCGAGCGGUUUGAAAAUGGCUUUCCAGGUCAUCUCCUGGCAUUAAGAAAGCGCGCUUCAUCAAUUCCACAAACCGUUUGAAAUCUUUGAUGGAUGAGAAACUGGGGCCUGCCAUAUUUUUUGCUUGUCUGUGCUCGCUCACUAAUAUGCCUAAGGGGUGUUGUUGAUCAGGACCGUCAUGCGCAUGUUUCGGUACAGGGGGAGAGGAGGGGACAUCCUGGUCCAACUCUGGUUUGCGGUUUGUCAGCUCUUCACCAAGACCAGUAGAAACACCGGCAUCCUUAUAGUUUUCAUGGUGGAAUGGUUCUCUCUGACGGAAAACAUAGCGUUGGUUUCUCAUAGCUUGCAUCUCAUCCCUUAGACUAGCAGUGUCAUGGUUUGGCUUCAAAGAAAAUGAAUGAAACUGGUUUGACGUUUGUGGAUCAAGCCCUCCUACACGGCUACUAAAUUCAUCCUCAUUGAGAUAGUAGCCAUGUGCAAUAUUGCAACC
Molecule: long non-coding RNA, 3038 nt
Organism: Gasterosteus aculeatus aculeatus (three-spined stickleback)
Lineage: Eukaryota; Metazoa; Chordata; Actinopteri; Perciformes; Gasterosteidae
Source: Ensembl